UGGGGAAUUUUGGACAAUGGGCGAAAGCCUGAUCCAGCAAUGCCGCGUGUGUGAAGAAGGCCUUCGGGUUGUAAAGCACUUUUGUCCGGAAAGAAAUCCUUGGCUCUAAUACAGUCGGGGGAUGACGGUACCGGAAGAAUAAGCACCGGCUAACUACGUGCCAGCAGCCGCGGUAAUACGUAGGGUGCAAGCGUUAAUCGGAAUUACUGGGCGUAAAGCGUGCGCAGGCGGUUUGCUAAGACCGAUGUGAAAUCCCCGGGCUCAACCUGGGAACUGCAUUGGUGACUGGCAGGCUAGAGUAUGGCAGAGGGGGGUAGAAUUCCACGUGUAGCAGUGAAAUGCGUAGAGAUGUGGAGGAAUACCGAUGGCGAAGGCAGCCCCCUGGGCCAAUACUGACGCUCAUGCACGAAAGCGUGGGGAGCAAACAGGAUUAGAUACCCCUGGUAGUCCACGCCCUAAACGAUGUCAACUAGUUGUUGGGGAUUCAUUUCCUUAGUAACGUAGCUAACGCGUGAAGUUGACCGCCUGGGGAGUACGGUCGCAAGAUUAAAACUC
Molecule: ribosomal RNA, 555 nt
Filed under: uncultured bacterium
Lineage: Bacteria
Description: partial 16S ribosomal RNA
Rfam family: Bacterial small subunit ribosomal RNA
Source: RNAcentral